GACGAACGCUGGCGGCGUGCUUAACACAUGCAAGUCGAACGGAAAGGCCCUGCUUUUGUGGGGUGCUCGAGUGGCGAACGGGUGAGUAACACGUGAGUAACCUGCCCUUGACUUUGGGAUAACUUCAGGAAACUGGGGCUAAUACCGGAUAGGAGCUCCUGCUGCAUGGUGGGGGUUGGAAAGUUUCGGCGGUUGGGGAUGGACUCGCGGCUUAUCAGCUUGUUGGUGGGGUAGUGGCUUACCAAGGCUUUGACGGGUAGCCGGCCUGAGAGGGUGACCGGCCACAUUGGGACUGAGAUACGGCCCAGACUCCUACGGGAGGCAGCAGUGGGGAAUAUUGCACAAUGGGCGGAAGCCUGAUGCAACAACGCCGCGUGCGGGAUGACGGCCUUCGGGUUGUAAACCGCUUUCGCCUGUGACGAAGCGUGAGUGACGGUAAUGGGUAAAGAAGCACCGGCUAACUACGUGCCAGCAGCCGCGGUGAUACGUAGGGUGCGAGCGUUGUCCGGAUUUAUUGGGCGUAAAGGGCUCGUAGGUGGUUGAUCGCGUCGGAAGUGUAAUCUUGGGGCUUAACCCUGGGCGUGCUUUCGAUACGGGUUGACUUGAGGAAGGUAGGGGAGAAUGGAAUUCCUGGUGGAGCGGUGGAAUGCGCAGAUAUCAGGAGGAACACCAGUGGCGAAGGCGGUUCUCUGGGCCUUUCCUGACGCUGAGGAGCGAAAGCGUGGGGAGCGAACAGGCUUAGAUACCCUGGUAGUCCACGCUGUAAACGGUGGGUACUAGGUGUGGGGUCCAUUCCACGGGUUCCGUGCCGUAGCUAACGCUUUAAGUACCCCGCCUGGGGAGUACGGCCGCAAGGCUAAAACUCAAAGGAAUUGACGGGGCCCCGCACAAGCGGCGGAGCAUGCGGAUUAAUUCGAUGCAACGCGUAGAACCUUACCUGGGUUUGACAUGGAUCGGGAGUGCUCAGAGAUGGGUGUGCCUCUUUUGGGGUCGGUUCACAGGUGGUGCAUGCCUGUCGUCAGCUCGUGUCGUGAGAUGUUGGGUUAAGUCCCGCAACGAGCGCAACCCUUGUUCACUGUUGCCAGCACGUUAUGGUGGGGACUCAGUGGAGACCGCCGGGGUCAACUCGGAGGAAGGUGGGGAUGACGUCAAGUCAUCAUGCCCCUUAUGUCCAGGGCUUCACGCAUGCUACAAUGGCUGGUACAGAGAGUGGCGAGCCUGUGAGGGUGAGCGAAUCUCGGAAAGCCGGUCUCAGUUCGGAUUGGGGUCUGCAACUCGACCUCAUGAAGUCGGAGUCGCUAGUAAUCGCAGAUCAGCAACGCUGCGGUGAAUACGUUCCCGGG
RNAcentral lists this ribosomal RNA (1343 nucleotides) under uncultured bacterium. RNAcentral's name for it is "16S ribosomal RNA". It matches the Rfam family "Bacterial small subunit ribosomal RNA", at positions 28 to 1378 of the family's 1533-position model. The record is from RNAcentral.